This 511-nucleotide ribosomal RNA is filed under the name Caviturritella leucostoma. RNAcentral describes it as "partial 16S large subunit ribosomal RNA". It matches the Rfam family "Bacterial large subunit ribosomal RNA", at positions 1814 to 2599 of the family's 2925-position model. Lineage: Eukaryota; Metazoa; Mollusca; Gastropoda; Turritellidae. The record is from RNAcentral.
CAUCGCUCCUUGAAUAAAAUAUAUAGGGAGUCGAACCUGCCCGGUGAAAAUAUUUUAACGGCCGCGGUACUCUGACCGUGCAAAGGUAGCAUAAUCACUUGCCUUAUAAUUGAAGGCUGGAAUGAAUGGUCUGACGAGAGCGACACUGUCUCCUCUUUAUUUCCUAGAAUUUGACUUUCAGGUGAAGAGGCCUGAAUUUUAUUGAAGGACAAGAAGACCCUGUCGAGCUUAAAAAAUGAAUAGAGAGGUUUAUAUUUUAAUAGAUUUACAACUAUUCGAUGUUUUUGGUUGGGGCGACCCAGGAACAAGAAAAGCUUCCUUAGUUCUGGGGGACCGGUCAGUUUUGACCCAGCAAAGCUGAUCGAUAGAAUUAGUUACCGCAGGGAUAACAGCAUAAUCUCCCUUGAGAGGCCCCAUCGAAAGGGGGGGUUGUGACCUCGAUGUUGGACUAGAAUAUCCUGAAGAUGCAGAAGUCUUCGAGGGUUGGUCUGUUCGACCAUUAAAAUUCUAC